Molecule: long non-coding RNA, 15497 nt
Filed under: Gossypium barbadense (sea-island cotton)
Lineage: Eukaryota; Viridiplantae; Streptophyta; Magnoliopsida; Malvales; Malvaceae
Description: long non-coding RNA (GBAR_LNC002988)
Source: RNAcentral
AAGGUUUCAUUCCAAAGCUUCAAAGUCCUCGCCUAAACUUCGAUUACAACGAAGUAGCUAGGAUUCGAGGAGCCGAUAUGAAGGUAAAUCUCUUUUCCUUACUCUUUUUUUUAACGAAUAUCGAUCAUGAAGAAAGCAAAAAAGAAAAAUGAAUGAAACGCUAGACUUAAAUCAAUCACCUUUUCGAUUUGUGAUUUCUACUUUUUCUAUUGAUCUCUUUGUUGUAUGUGUGUAACCUUACAGAUAAUUCCUUUUUGGGCUUUAUAGCUGAAGGAAAAAAUGAUAAAAAUAAAUAAAAAAUACAAUAUUUUCUUUUUGUUUUGCUGUGCGUUCAUCCCUUUUUGCAGGUACAGGGUGUGCGUGGUGCAUGUACGGGGGGUGUUUGCUGGCGUACGGAUGUGUGGGCGUGGCUGCUGAAGCGCUGGAGCGUACAGAGGUAUGGUGGCCUGGCUGCGGCGUGAGGGGGAGAAACCCUAGGUUUCUGGUGUUUUAAUUUUUUGGGCCUAUCGGGCUUGUAUUUUUGGGUCUAGGUUUUAGAUUUUGAAUUUGGGUUAGGGUUGGUUGUUGGGCUUAUUUGGGUCUUGGAUUAUGUAAUUGGAUAUUUAAUGGACUAUUUAAAAAUUGGAUUUUUGUUUAUUUAUUAUUUUGGCUUUGAUGUGGACCCAGGCAAAUUGGCCCGUUUACAGCUGCCCCUCUUUGCUCAUUGUCGUGUAACGAGAAUAGAGCAAAAACUUCAAAGAGGGCCAAUUUUGCCCGGUCUCGCAGAAUCAUGACUUCUUUGGUGUACUUUUUCUUCGAGGUAGCCUUGUUCCGAUCCUCUGCAACUUCAGGGAUAUAGGAAUUGCUGCUCUAAUCCACUCUGCUGUAACUCUAGAGAGACUAGCCUUGUAGCUUUUAAUCUGCUCUACCGCAAUUGCCCCACUGCAACCUCAAGGAGAUAUGGUUCAUGUAUUUUUAUCCUGCUCUAUUGCAACUUCAGAGAGAUAAGGAUUGUGACUUCGAUCUGCUCCACUGCAACAUCAGGGAGAUAAGAUUUGUAAUUUUUAGCUUGUUACCCUACUACUUAAGGGUUAAGGCUCACUGUCUUCGAUUUGCUCCACUACUGCUUAGGGAGACAAGAUCUACAAUCUUCGGCCUGUUACCCUACUACUUAGGGGGUUAAGGCUCAUUGUCUUUGAUUUGCUCCACUACUGCUUAGGGGGAUAAGAUUUACAAUCUUCGGCCUGUUACCCUACUACUUAGGGGGUUAAGGCUCACUGUCUUCGAUCCGCUCCACUACUGCUUAGGGAGAUAAGAUCUGUGAAUUCACCGUGUUGCUCCACCGUCCUCUAGGGACAUGAUCUGUAGAACCGGUUUCAUGCACCCAUGCUUAUGCCAAAUAAUUAGGAUGCCAUGAUCAAAAUGAGUCAAAUGCUCCUACUAGAUGAAUGAUUAUGAAUGUAGAAAUGUCGUGAGAAUGUUUCCUUUUUUAAAUGCUUAAGGUGUCAUUACUCAUAGUUCAUCAGGGUUCUAUCAUUGAUGCCAUCAUGUCUUCUUGUUUAGCCGGUAUUUUUGACAGAAAAUUUGAAGAAAUAGUCACAAUUUGGACUAUUCUUUUUCCAAUGUUUCCAACUUUUGAAUCUGGUUAGUCCUGACUAGUGGCCCUGUUUCAGGUCCUUGUACUAUUUAGAGACCUUCCAGAGUAAUAUGCAUAGCUUCUUUUGUGUGAUAUUAUAAGUCCAAAAAUCAUGAUUUCAACAAAAAUGCUCGAAAAAGACUAUCAUAAAGGACAAGAUGAAAUUUUAUUGAGAAAAACUCAAAGUGAAUAAAUUAACAGGAUAGCAAAUAUGCUAAUGUGCAAAACAAGAUUAGAAAAAAGUGCCCCAGAUAUCGCAGCACGAGCUUCACUAUUCCAACUUCUCCAAGGCCAUUUCGAGCUAAAUAUAUGUUAAGGAGAUACCGUGUAUUUUGUUGAUGCUCCAAGAUGUACUGUUCUUUCCUCUUGUUAAUUUUGGGAGGACAAGACUACCGCAUGCCCCAUGUUUAAAAUUUGAGCUGCCCUUUUUUGGGUUUUCAACUCAAAAACCUCUUUGGUCUCAAAGUGCCCUUUACGGGUUUUCACUUUGACCUCUCUAUUUUUUUUAGGGUCUCAAAGUGCCCUAUAUGGGUUUUCACCUUGGUCUCUCUAUUUUAUUUUAUUUUUUAGGGUCUCAAAGCGCCCUUUACGGGUUUUCACCUUGGCCUUUCUUUUUUAGGUAAAAUACUUCUUGACGGAAUCCGAAUUCACAGGAUUGGGCAAGUUUUUACCAUCCAUCUCAGUUAGAAUCAAUGCUCCCCCAGAAAAAGCUUUCUUUACUACAUAAGGUCCUUCCCAGUUUGGCAUCCAUUUUCCUCUGAAAUCAUUUUGUAUAGGAAGGAUCUUUUUCAAAACCAGGUCCCCCUCAUGGAAUUCCCUAGGGUGAACCUUUUUAUCAUAGGCUCGCAUCAUUCAUUUUUGGUACAUCUGACCAUGACGGAUAGCUCUUAGCCUCUUUUCUUCAAUCAAGUUUAAUUGAUCGUAUCGAGAUUGGAUCCACUCUACUUCAUCUAACUUUAGCUCCGAUAACACUCGAAGGGACGGGAUCUCGACUUUGAUUGGAAAAACCGCUUCCAUUUCGUAGGCCAAAGAGAAAGGCGUUGCCCUAGUUGAGGUUCUGACUGAUGUUUGAUAACCAAAGAGGGAAAAUGGUAACUUCUCAUGCCAAUCUUUGUAGGUCACAGUUAUCUUCCCCACAAUCUUCUUAAUGUUUUUAUUGGCCACUUCCACUUCCCCAUUCAUUUUUGGGCAAUAUGGUGGCGAGUUGUGGUGUUUGAUCUUGAAUUGACUGCAGACUUCCACUAUCGUACUAUUGUUAAAGUUUAAUGCAUUGUCAGAUAUGAUCCUCUCCGGCAUUCCAUAUCGACAUAUGAUCUUUUUUUUCAGGAAUUUGCUCACUGCUGACUUUGUAACAUUGGCAUAUGAAGUGGUUUCUACCCAUUUGGUGAAGUAGUCGAUAACCACAAAGAUAAAAUGAUGCCCAUUGGAAGCUUUUGGGGAUAUUGGUCCAAUCACAUCCAUACCCCAUAUAGAGAAAGGCCAUGGGGAAGUCAUGACAUGCAGCGGUAAAGGAGGCACGUGAAUUUUGUGUCCAUAGAUUUGGCAUUUAUGACAUCUCUUGGUGUAAUUGACACAGUCUCCUUCCAUAGUGGACCAAUAAUACCCGAAUCUCAUAAUUUUCCUGGCCAUUGUAAAGCCAUUAGCGUGUGUCCCACAGAUGCCCUCAUGGACUUCUUCCAAGAUUUUCUUAGCCUCUACAGCGUCUACGCAUCUUAAUAGCACUUGAUCCUUUCUUCUUUUGUAUAGGAUCUCCCCAUCUAAGACAUAGUCGAUGGCCAAUCUUCUCAGCGUCCUUUUGUCAUUCUCACUUGCCUGGUCCGAGUAUUCACGAUUCCUCAUAUAUUGUAAUAUGUUGUGAUAUCAAGGGUGAUCAUCUUUUUCUUCAUCUUCUUCAAUAUUAUAACAGUGAGCUGGAGUUUCAUAAAUGCUCAUCUGGAUGGGUUUGACAUCUUCUUGUUUGUUCACCUUGAUCAUGGAAGUUAAGGUGGCCAAAGCAUCGGCCAUCUGAUUUUCAUCCCGUGGAAGGUAGUAGAAGGUAAUGUCAUCGAACUCUUUAACCAAUUCAAGGACCAGUUUUCGAUAAUCGAUCAACUUGGGAUCUCUAGUCUCCCAUUCUCCCUUGAGUUGAUAAAUCACUAGCGCAGAAUCUCCAUACACCUCUAGCACUUUAAUUCUGCGUUCUAUGGCUGCACGGAUACCUAUGAUACACACCUCGUAUUCUGCCAUAUUAUUCGUACAAUCAAAAUACAAUUUACUAGUAAAUGGAUAAUGAUCUUCGUUUGGAGAUACCAAGACUGCCCCGAUUCCAUUACCCACAGCAUUUGACGCCCCAUCAAAGUUUAGCUUCCAGGGAAGUUCUUCCAGAGCACCUUCUUCAGUGGUUGCAACACACAUCAGGUCUUCAUUCAGGAAAUCGAAGUUCAAGGGCUCGUAAUCUUCCAAAGCUCUACUAGCUAGAAAGUCUGCUAUUGCACUCCCUUUUACUGUUUUCUGGUUCACAUAUACUAUAUCGAAUUCAGAGAGCAGAAUUUGCCAUCGGUCCAUCCUCCAUUCAAAAUUGUUGACUCCAUCAUGUACUUUAAAGGGUCCAGUUUUGAAAUGAGCCAAGUAGUGUGAUAGAACAUAUACUGCCUCAACCUUCGGGUUGUCUAAACCAGGGCACAACACAACUUUUCUAUCGGCGGAUAUCUUAUCUCACAUUCAGUGAACUUUUUACUAAGAUAGUAAAUAACUUUUUCUUUCCUUCUUGACUCAUCAUGCUGACCAAGUACGCAUCCCAUAGAAUUCUCAAAUACUUCCAAAUACAGUAUCAAUGGCUUAUCGGGGUUAGGUGGCAUUAGCACCAGAGCGUUGGAUAAGUAUUGUUUGACCUUUUCGAAAGCCCUUUGGCAUUUUUCAUCCCAUACACCUGGGUUGUGUUUCUUGAGGAGGCAAAAAAUAAGGUCACAUUUCUCGAUUAGUUGUGAAAUGAACCGAGCGAUGUAAUUUAAUCUUCUUAGAAAGCCUCAAACCUCUUUUUGCGUACGCGGUGGAGAUAUUUCUUUUAUGGCUUUGACUUUGUCUGGAUCGAUCUCAAUCCCUUUCUCACUAACCACGAAUUUGAGAAGCUUUCCAAACUUGGCUCCAAAGGUACAUUUGGCUGGAUUGAGUUUUAGCUGAAACUUCCUCAACCUUAAGAACAACUUUCUCAGGACUUGUAUGUGAUCCUUCUCUGUUCAGGACUUUGCGAUCAUAUCAUCGAGAUAAACUUCAAUUUUUUUGUGUAUCAUGUCGUGAAACAGGGUUACCAUGGCCCUUUGAUAUGUUGCCCCCGUAUUUUUCAGUCCAAACGGCAUCACCUUGUAGCAGAACAUGCCCUACAUGGUUACAAAUGUGGUCUUCUCCAUGUCUUGAGGAUGUAUAUUGAUCUGGUUAUAUCUGGAAAAACCGUCCAUGAAGGAAAACAGGGAGUGUCCUACCAUGUUGUCCACUAAGGUGUCGAUAUAAGGUGGUGGGAAAUUAUCUUUCGGGCUAACUUUAUUCAAAUCUCUGUAGUCUACAUACAUUCAUACUUUUCCAUCCUUCUUAGGGACGAGGACGAUGUUGGCUACCCAUUCUAGGUAUUUUACCACCUUUAAAAAUCCAGCGUCAAACUGCUUUUUAACCUCUUCUUUUAUUUUUAGCAAGACGUCAGGCCUCAUUCUUUAGAGUUUUUGCUGAACUGACUUACAUUAUUCCUUUAUGGGGAGUCAGUGCACGACGAUAUAAGUUUUUAACCCGGGCAUAUCUUGGUAUGACCAUACAAAGACAUCUUUGAAUUCUUGAAGUAAUUCGAUAAGGUCUCGCUUUAUCUCCAUGGUGAUACAAGUUCUGAUCUUCACCUCUUGUCCCUCUCCUAAGCUCACAAUUUCUACUAAUUCUUUGUGAGGUAGGAUUUGUUUCUCGUCUUGUUCUACCAUCCUCAACAAAUCAGGUGAUAGGUUACAGCCUUGGUCAUCUUCAAAAUCCUGAGAAUCCUCUAUGAACAUAUCUCGCUCAAAAGGAGACUCUGAACGACUAGCAGUGUCACUCAUAUCAUUGAUAUCUGGGGACCUGUUAUGAGAAUGAAGGAAGAUACAAAGAACCAAAAGAAUUUAAGAAUACUUAUCUGUAUGGUAUAAUUAUGAAUAAAAAAUAAAAGAAUAUUGAAAAGAAUGUCUGAAUAACAAAAGAAUCCGAAAGUAAUCAUUUGUAUAAUAUGAUUAUGAAUGAAAUGGAAAGAAUGAAAUAAUAUCUGCUCAAAAUGAUAAUAACUGUGCAUUUUAUUGAAAUAACGUUUUUGAACAUAAGCCUAUUUCACAAAAGAUUCUUAUUACUCCUAGGCCUAGAGCAAUAAGUGUGUUUUGGACAUUACUCUGAGUCAGCUCUAAAAACUACAGGAAUCUCUUCCGCAGUCCAGUUAUCCAGAACACUUCCAGGUAUGUAGGGGCGAAUGCCCAAAAAAUUUUCUCCUCCAGCCCCUUCAUCGUAUGUGGCAUUGAUGUUUAAGUUUUCCAACUUUUAUUCUAUGGAUUUCUGUCUUGACGUGCCCCGCUCGGGAUAAAUGAUUCCUUCAGACACAAAAGUUUUCGAUAUAUGGGGGAAUAUCAUUGGCUCCCAUUUGAUUUCCUCCCCCUUCAACCGUGCUCUCCUUUUUUCUUGUUUCUUUUUCAGCUCUUUUUUUCCUUUGUCUCACAUCUGGCUUAAAUCCUAAGCCGAAACGGUCUCUCUUGUCCUUCAAUACUGGCGUUUCAACCAUUCCUUAGAGAUGUCUCUCGAGUUCUCUUCUCGGUAGAGCUCCUUUUCCAACCAUCAACUGUAGACUCAUCCUUGUAGUUUUGGAUAAUUUUGGCGUCAGAAUCUUGCUCCCCUCAGUAAUGAAUAUUGCAUUAACAAAUUCCAAAGACCAAAAUGAGCAUUCGAUUGCUUCGUCAUUUGUCUCCAAAUAGGGUGCAUCACUGCUUACAGCUACAAUGAUAUCCUCUUCAGCAUUUAUCGUUAUCAACCGCCCCUCUAAUACUAACUUCAGCUUCUGAUGCAACGAUGAAGGCACUACCCCAGCUGAAUGUAUCCAGGGCCUCCCCAAUAAGCAAUUGUAUGAAGGCUUAAUAUCCAUCACCAGGAAAUCCACCUCAUAUGUGUUUGGCCUGAUUAGAAGAGGUAUCUCAAUUCUGCCCAUCACCCUUCUCUCUGUGCCAUCGAAUGCCCUCACUAUAUUCUGGCACUCUUUCAUGUGAGAGUUGUCUACAAGUAAUCUGUUUAGUGUGGACAAUGGUCGGACAUUCAAGGCCAAUCCGUUGUCAAUCAGUACUUCUGGUAGCGUAUGCCCCUUACAACGCGUGGUGAUGUGUAAAGCUUUAGUCGACCCCAUGCCACUGGGUGGUAUCUCAUCGUUAUUGAAGAAGAUAAAGUUAUCGACACUUAUGUUGCUAACCAAGCGGUCUAGCUUGUUGACGGAGAUAUCAUUGGCAACAUAUGUUUCAUUCAAAACUUUCAUCAGCGUGUUGCGAUGGACUUCCGAACUUAAGAGUAAGGCCAGCACCGAGAUACGAGUUGGUUGUCUGCGUAGCUGUUCCACAACACUGUACUCACUGUGCUUUAGAAAUUUUAAAACUCUUUAGCCUCAUCUUCGUUAACUGGCUCAUUAACAAGAAGUUCAGAUUUGGCCACUUUUUCCUUCUUCUGUUCGACCACUAUAGCUUUUCCUUUUGAGGGUUCUGCUUUCUCGCUUGCUGAAUCGUAACAUCUCCCACUAUACGUAUAAGAGCCCAUAUAUUGGUCCUCUUUUGAAGCAUCAACCAGGCUCUCUUUUCCUAGGAUCGUCACGUUACAGUCGUAAUUCCAUAGGACCCUCUUACUGUCUUUAUAGGGGAAGACUGCAGGUAUUUAGAUUAUGACCUUCGGUGGCAUUUGCACUCCCGCUUCAUUAUUUUUGGGUCGUGAUAUGAUAACCACGGGGUAGUUAAUUGUUUGGUUCUGCAUCGUCGAUUUUCCCUCUGAUGCGCAUAUAUCUCCCUCUCCGGGGUUUUCAAUUUCUUCAUAAAACUUUAUUUCUCUAUUGUUUAUCAUGUCCUGCACCAGGGCUCUGAACUCCACACACUCUUGAAUUUCAUGCCCUACCUCGUUGUGGAACUCACAGUAGUUCCUCUCUUCUUCAGAUUCUUCUCUUGAAUCCAACACGAUCAACCCUCUCUUGACCAUCUCAUUCCACAUCCGUCUCAAUGGGGUCCUGACUUCUGCAACCUCAUAUUUGAUCUUCUUGCUUUCACCUUCGUUUAUCCCAUUUACUCCUUGGUCGGUAUGAUUGAGGAGUGGGUUUCCUGCUACAUUGGGUACGGCUAGGUCGUCAAACCUUAUAAUACCCAUUUUAAUAAAUCUUUCAACUAGUUUUUGAACGCGGUGUACUUUUCGAUCUAAUGCCCGGUGAUUCCUGCAUGGUAUUCACAUUGGGCAUUUAUGUCAUACCAUUUGGGAAACAGGGGUUGCAGUGACUUCAGGUAGAAAAGGGACACUACAUGAGCAUUGAAUAGGUUCUGGUACAACUCCCUAUAUGUCAUAGGUAUAGGCGUAAACUGUAGUCUUUCUGUGUUCGUCCUCGCGCUGGAUUCUUGCCUCACAGUGCUAUGUUGAUUGGUGGUCACCGUCUUUGGUUGGUUUACAGUGAGUGACUUGGACUGACCCUUGCUAAAUGUGCUCGUGUUGUUCACUUCAUUAUCUCUUUUCCUUGGGGCCGAUCUUUUGGUACUUUCCUCUACUUCUAUUUUGCCACUCCUCACAACAUUUUCAAUCAUUUCACUUGUCAUCACUAUGUCUAAGAAGCUUUUGGUGGCACUUUCCAACAUAUGAGUGAUAAAAGGAGCCUUCAAAGUGUUGAUAAAGAGCAUCAUAGUUUUUUUCUAAAAGCGGCGGCUAAACUUGUAUGGCCCAUCUUUGCGCAUACUGUCUGAAAUUUUCAUUCAGUUUCUUCUCCAUAUUCUGGAGAGUAAUCCUGUCAGGAGUCAUAUUCGUCACAUGACUAUACUGUUUCAUAAAGGCUUGAGCUAGGUCUUUCCAUGAGUUAAUCUUAGCGCGGCUCAAUUGGUUAUACCAUUUGGAUGCCGCCCCAACCAGACUGUCCUAGAAGCAGUGAAUCAAUAGCUGGUCAUUAUUGACGUAUCCAGUCAUUUGCCUGCAAAACAUAGUAAUAUGAGCUCCAAGGCAGCUCAUUCCAUUGUACUUCUCAAAUUCAGGCAUUUUGAACUUGUGGGAAAGGACUAAAUUUGAGACCAAAAUCAAGUCCUUAGCAUUAAUUCCGUGACGACUAUCAGCACCUUCCAUCACCUUGAAUUUUUCCUUCAGCCAUUUACACCGUUCCUCUAAUUGCUUCUGUGAUUCCAUCCUUGCCUUUUCUUCUUCUGCAACUUCAUCCAAAUCAGGAACAAGCGAAUAAUUCGAGUUAUUAACAGGGUUAGAGCCUGAGUCAAUUUGGAAAUUCAUCGGUAUCGAAGCUCCGACCUGAAUCUACUGAGGUCUAAUUGUAACAGAUGGUCUUUGUAGAUUAAUCUCAGGUUGUGUCGGUACAUGUGUCAGAGUAAAGCCAAGAGGAUAUUGAGGGUCUUUAUUAUUUUCCCCAACAUUGUCUAUAGGACCCUUUCCCUUAUUCAUUCUUCCCAUCAGCAAUUGGGACAAUUGACUCAUCAUCUCUCUUUGGGAUUCCAUCAUUUGCUCUUUCAUCUCUUGCUGAAUCUUAGCUAGCUGCUCUUGUAUCUGCGUCUACAUUUGCUCCUGCAUGUCCUUUUGCAUUUGCUCCAAUUUUUCUAGUCUUUUGUCCAUUGACUUGGUCUUUUUCCUUGUGCCGUAGGGGUGCGUACUUGGUUGGUUUUUGUUGGUUUCCAGAUUACUGAAAUAAUUUUUUAAUUAAUUAGAAUCUUUUUAUGGCCUUUAAUGCAUAUGAUGUAAUGUAAUGCAAAUGCAUGAAUGCAAAGGAGGCAUCAAUUUUGAUUCAAUUCCAUUUAGAAAAAUUUACUAGAAAAUAAAAUUCUUUACAUAAAAUUGAGUUACAAAUAAAACUUCGCCCUAAUGCUCAGAGCCUUAAUUUUCCUAAGCAACGAGGCUAGCUCCUACCCCCGAUCUGACUCCAGCUCGUACUUCACGCUCAGUAUGUCCACUCGUACCGCUAAAGCUUACAAAUAUUCAGCUACCUCCCGAAUCUGGGUUAUGGCUUCCCCCAUAAUGUAAUCCUUGUUCCUGACUUGGUCUUGCGCAUGGUGAAGCUGUUCCUUCCAACGUUCCUCACUUGCUUUGAAAAACUGGAUCUGCAUUUCACAGCUUUGUAGUGACGCUUCUAAUUCUUCUACUUUUCCUUUCAUUUCUUCCAUCUUACUCAAGCUUGCCCUUAACUCCAUUAUGGUAUUACAGCUUCGGUACUGAUGAAAAGACUUCUCAAGUUCUGCCACUCUAGCCCUUAAUUCACCUCGUUCAUUUCUGCUUUCUGACAGACUCUUCUCAAAAUCCUCAUUUCCUGCCUGAGCCUCUCAGAAUUUCCUUUCCCAUCGGUCGGGUUUGGUUUUUUCCUCUUGAAUUUCAUGGCGCCAUUGUUCUAAAGUUUUGCCUAACCCAGCAGUCUUCAUAGAUAGGCGUAACUUCUUAUAAUCGUCUUCAAACUGUCUAGAUCAUCUUCGGCCUUACUUUUCCCUGUUGUCCGCUUCUCAGCCUCUGACCUCUGAACGUCUACAUCUAAUAUCAGAUGCAUCUUUUCUUCCUCCAAUUGUUCGAUCUUUUUCCCAAGCUCAGAACUAUUCUUAUCGAAGUCUUGCUUUAUAAUUUCCGACUCUGACGGGGCAACUUGUAAUUGUUCCUCCAUUGGUCGGGUGGUUUCUACACUUAGUCUAGGAAUAUUAUCAUUGACCCUCUUCCUAAACCAUCCAUUUAUUCAGGCGUCACCAUGGAACUGACAACUAGCCUCUUCAUCUAGCGAGUUUGCUUCUGAGCAUCAGAUAAUUCCCGAACUUUCCUCUUAUAGUGGUCACCUUUAUAGGAGAAUUCACAUUGAGCAAGCCCGUAAGUCGUGGGUACAAACUACCUCAAUUUGUAUUGCCUUAAUACAAGAAAUGGAGUAUACCCAAUAGCUCUCCAAAUUCCUAACAACGGUACCCAAUCAAAGUUCCCACAUCGAUACAGGAUUUCAUCAAGAACCAUCCAAUAAGCUCUCCACUCUAUAUCCCUCUCCUUGAGGUUUUAGAGGAUUUCCAUCCACUUCUCCUCUGAGAUAUCCUCUCUCCUUUGUAUGGUUGCCUCCUUCUUUAAUAGGGAAUAGCCUUCAGAAAAGACCCGGUAAGAAACCUUGUCUACUUUCCAAAAAUACCCAUGAAACCACACCAUCAACAGCUGUGCACAUUCAAUAAAUCGCCCCUCGCCCGUCUUCUGACACAUGCUCAAGGAUCUGAACGUCUCAGCCAAUAUUGUAGAUACAUGUGUGAUUCCCUUCUCAAACCGAUCGAAUAAGUCAGUGACUACCUCAUCCACGUGCCUUAAAAGCCUUAGGAAAAAUUACCAAUCCAUAGAUGCUUAAGGCAAAGAUAUCGACCCUCUUUCUUUCAUCUGGAUGUGUUAAAACCAAAUCUCGCAAAUUCUCCCAAGGGAUACAUUUACUAUCUCCCUUUUGUUGAAUCCGAGCAGUGACCCAAGGCUCGCUCAUCCCUGAAAUAUUCAUCAAUUUCGUUGCGAAAGUUUGACCAUUAAAAACCUUGGCAUAAGCUUUGCUAACUUGCACUUUUGGACACCUGAGCAGGGUAGUAUAUUCCUCCACAGUAGGCACUAAAUCCACUUCCCUAAAAGUGAAACACUUGUAAGCAGAAUUCCAAAAUUGAACCAUAACUCUGAACAGAUGCUUGUCCACCUUAAUAUCUAGCAAGUAAGAUAUAUCACCAUAGCUUUGAUAAAACAACUGUUUGGUUCCUUCAUCCCAAAGAGCCUAUAUAUCUCUCAACUCUUGCAACUCAUUCUGUGUUACAUUAAUGCGAGUGAAUUCCUGCAAUUCUAAUGUAUAUCCUUCUGCCAAGCUAUCCCCUUUCUCCGAUUGUAACUUCUUUAACCAUGCGCGGACGGCUGCAUUAUCCUCAACUUUAUUAAGAAAUUCAUUCUCCAUGUCAAACUUUCUAACUUAGUAAUCGAAUACGAAUCAACACCUUCUUUAGUAUGCAAUGUCAUGCAAAACACAAUCAAAACAAAACACAAGUUAGUAUCAAAUAUAAGUAAUAAGAUACAAGCAAAAACCAAAAUAAUCAGAGCACAGAUAUGGGCAACUACUAAGGCUUAACACAGCUCUAUCUAAGGGUAGCUUUUAACGUUCACUAUAUGUGGUUCGGCUCUAGAGAGAAGGUACCUGAACCAGCAGAUUCAUCAAUCCUCACCCAUUAUAGGCUCAUAUGGAUCGAGUUCGAUUCAGGGGAAUACAUUUCCUUAUGACCAUGCAGAGAUGAAAAUCUCACAAAAUCAUAGGUACGGAUGUACUCCAAAAGCAAUCCACUAGCCCAUGCGGAGGUGAAAACCUCACGAAAGCAUAGUUUCUUAUUUCCACUUAGAAGGUGUGACCACAACGGUCAUGUGAUGCAAUGCAAUAUUAUUCUACGAGACCCGAACCAUAACGAUCAUACAAUCAGAUGCAAUCGAAAGAAUCAUGAUUUUCAAAACAAAUUUUUAAUUUUUUGACAGAAGGAUAGAAAAUAAUCAAUUUUAUGGCUUGACUCUCUUGUCCGUUUCCCCAGUAGAGUCGCCAAGCUGUCGAAACCAUCCUUUUUAUUUGAAAGAAAAAACAGAAAUCGACUUUUUGAAAAUAGAUCGCAGAGUCACCACCAAUCUUUUAUUUAGGUGUGAUUGGAUCAUCUAAUAAAACACUUUGUUUUAUUUAAAUUGAUUUUGGCCUACGUAAAUUUGAGAAAACGGGUUCGGGAGCCGGUUACAUAUAAGGAAGGAUUAGCACCCUCACUACGCUCAAAACUGGUACCAAAUUGAUUAAAUGCUGCCCUUAGGUCUAAGAUUUAGAGCUAUUUUUUUGAAAUAUGAUUCUUUUCAAAACAUUUGAAUGGCUUAAGUUGGUCGUCAAAAUUCUCUUGUUUCAAAGUUAUAUAACGUCACAUCCAGCACGAUAGGACACGAUCCUUUAUACCCUCGAAAACACGAUAAAUUUUGACUUCCAAAUGUUUAUAUAUUGAAAAUUACAAAAAGGGUGCCCAAUUAUUUAGUCCAAUGAAAAACCGAAACCCAGCACAGUAGGGCACGAUUCCUCGAAUUUCUAGACAUUGAACAUUGCCUCGUUUUAGAAUUUAGAAAAUAUAAGUACAAUUCUAAAGGAAUAUUCGAUAAUUUUGAACAAACAGGAAAUUGCAACCCAGCACGAUAGGGCACGAUUCCCUGAAUUUCCAAACAUCGAACAUUGCCUUCAUUUUAAGGAAUUUUCAAAGUACGGAUGAAAAUUCAAAGGAAUAUUUGAUUAUUUCGACAAACAGAAAAUCGAAACCCAGCACGGUUGGGCACGAUUCCUCGAGUUCCCAAACAUCAACUAUUACCUUUGUUUUAGUGAAUCUUCAAAUAAACAGUUGUAGAACUAGUUCAAAACGUAUCAAUUUUACUUGAAAUAGGAUGGAAUAAUUAAUUAAUUUUUUUUAAAAAAAGUUGAAAAUUAUAAUGAAACAUUUGUAGACUAAAGGAAAAAAUAAAAAUAUGGGGUAACAUGCACUCAUAAAAUACAAUGCCAAUUAACCAACUAAUAAUUAACAAAUUAACAAAACCAAUAAUUAAGUAUAACUAAUCUAAGACAAAUAUAAUCGAACUUCUAAGCAUGGAUAGAGAACAACAAUACGACAAAUAUACAUGAAAUAAUACAAAAACGACUAACCCAUGAGAUACCAAACAACUCCUAAAGAAUGAUGCAUUGAUGAGCAAAUAACACGUAUUAGGACUUGAAAUAAUCUAUAAGAAAAAUAAAGAACACAUAUAUAAUUUUUUUUAAAAAAAAUUGAUGUUGCAAAACGAAAACAUUUAAAUCACAAAAUUUGUUUAAAAGUGACAAUAUAUACACACGAUGAAGGGGAAUUUAAAUAAUAUAUGAAAUAUGAAAGAAUAAUAAAAUGUAAUCUUAGGAAAUAAAUUAUGCACAAAAUAGAUUUAAAAACAUAUACAUAUAUGGAUUAAGAAAUAAUUAGUUGUGAAAAGAGCAUGUAUUUAAUAAUGUAUUUAAGAUUAAAUUAAUUUUAUUAGAAAUUAUAUAUAGUAGAUUUAAGAUCAUACUUAUAUAUACAAAGAAAACUAUAUGUUUAAAAUAUAUGGAUUUAAUAAUGUAUAUAGAUCAAAUAUAUGUACCAAUAUAUAUAAGUAUAAAAAUAAUUUAAACAAUAUAUAAAACAUGUAUACGAAACAUAUUAAAAUAACAAAAAUAUAUGUUAAAAUAUAUGGAUAGAAUCAAAAACCAUUAUAUGUAUGAAAUAACAUAACAUUAAUAAUAUACGUGCACUAAAAUUAACUUUAUUACAAAUAUUAUAUAUAUACCAAUGUAAAAAAAAAGUAUAUAUAAAAAAUAAUUUACAAAAUGUGAAAAUGAUAUGACAUAAACAAAUUUGCAAUUAUAAAAAAUUUCACCAAGGUAAUUGAAAAUGUAAAAAUAAGCUAACAAGAGUAAAAAAAACUAUAAAAUAGAGAGACUUAAUUAGAAUUAAAUUAAAACAAAAGAGAUAAUUUGAGAAUAAAAUGAUAAUGAUAAAAAGGGGCCAACAUGCAAUGCGCCCGAAUGCACAGGGAGCUAGACUGGAAAUAUACCAGUUCCCAAAGUGCAGCGUUGAAAUGAGGGCCAAAUUGCAAACACGCACAAAUUACAGUACCAAAUUUAAAAACAAAAUAAAACAAACAGAGGGUAAUUGAACACCGGUGCGAAGAGGAAGGAUUAAUAGCGCAAAUAACCCUCAUAGGCCCAGGACGCGCGGAUCUGGACGAUCAAGGUCGGGUCACCGGGUCACAGCUCUUAAACGGUGCCGUUUUGAAGCUAUAGGAAUUGGCCGAAAACGACGUCGUUUCCUACGUUUUAUAAAAACCAAAAUUUAAAGAAACCCUAAGCUGAUACUUUGCCAUUUGAAAAGAGAACAAAACAGACUUAAGACCUUUCCUCUCCUUUCCCAUUCGGCCGAAUUAGAAGAAACCUUUAGGCUACCGUUUGGCCUCCAUGUCUAGCCGACGGUUAUCAUGCGAAAGCCUAAUCUGGCUACGUCCAACCGCAAAUCCAAGGUUUCAUUCCAAAGUUUCAAAGUCCUCGUCUAAACUUCGAUUACAACGAAGUAGGUAGGAUUCGAAGGAGCCGAUAUGAAGGUAAAUCUCUUUUCCUUACUCUUUUUUUUUUUAACGAAUAUCGAUCAUGAAGAAAGCAAAAAAGAAAAAUGAAUGAGACGUUAGACUUAAAUCAAUCACCUUUUCGAUUUGUGAUUUCUGCUUUUUCUAUUAAUCUCUUUGUUGUAUGUGUGUAACCUUAUAGAUAAUUCCUUUUUGGGCGUUAUAGUCGAAGAAAAAAAUGAUAAAAAAAUAAAAAUACAAUAUUUUCUUUUUGUUUUGCUGUGCGUUCGUCCCUUUUUACAGGUACGGGGUGUGCGUGGCACGUGUACGGGGGCUUUGUGCUGGCGUACGGAGGCGUGGGCGUGGCUGCUGAAGUGCUGGAGAGUACAGAGGCAUGGUGGUCUGGCUGCGGCGUGAGGGGGAGAAACCCUAGGUUUCUGGUGUUUUAAUUUUUUGGGCCUAUCGGGCUUGUAUUUUUGGGUCUAGGUUUUAGAUUUUAAAUUUGGGUUAGGGUUGGUUGUUGGGCUUGUUUGGGCCUUGGGUUAUGUAAUUGGACAUUUAAUGGACUAUUUAAAAAUUGGAUUUUUUU